Molecule: ribosomal RNA, 1242 nt
Filed under: metagenome
Description: bacterial LSU rRNA
Rfam family: Bacterial large subunit ribosomal RNA
Source: RNAcentral
UGAAUACGAGACGCUAAGGCGUCGAAGUAGUGUAUGUCAUACUUCCAAGAAAAGCUUGCACUGUCAUAGAUAAAAAACGCCUGUACCAUAACCGACACAGGUGGGUAGGUAGAGUAUACUAAGGGGCGCGAGAUAACUCUCUCUAAGGAACUCGGCAAAAUAACUCCGUAACUUCGGGAGAAGGAGUGCCUUAUUCGUAAGGUUGCAAUAACAAGAUCCAAGCAACUGUUUAUCAAAAACACAGGUCUCCGCUAAGUCGUAAGACGAUGUAUGGGGGCUGACGCCUGCCCAGUGCCAGAAGGUUAAAGAAGUUGGUUAGCAAUUGCGAAGCUGAUAACUGAAGCCCUGGUGAACGGCGGCCGUAACAAUAACGGUCCUAAGGUAGCGAAAUUCCUUGUCGGGUAAGUUCCGACCCGCACGAAAGGCGUAAUGAUUUGGAUACUGUCUCGGAGAGGGGCUCGGUGAAAUAGACUUGUCUGUGAAGAUGCGGACUACCUGCACCAGGACAGAAAGACCCUAUGAAGCUUUACUGUAACUUGAAAUUGAAAUUGGACUUUAUUCGCGCAGUAUAGGUGGGAGGCGUUGAUUAUAAUCUUGUGGGAUUAUUGGAGCCAUCAGUGAGAUACCACUCUUGUAAUGUUAGAUUUCUAACUUUGAAUCAUUAUCUGGUCAAAGAACAGUUUCAGGCGGGCAGUUUGACUGGGGCGGUCGCCUCCUAAACGGUAACGGAGGCGUACAAAGGUUUCCUCUGAACGGUUAGAAAUCGUAUCUAGAGUGUAAAGGCAUAAGGAAGCUUGACUGUGAGACCUACAAGUCGAGCGGGGACGAAAGUCGGUCUUAGUGAUCUGACGGUACUGAGUGGAAAGGCCGUCACUCAACGGAUAAAAGUUACUCUAGGGAUAACAAGCUGAUCUCCCCCAAGAGUUCACAUCGACGGGGAGGUUUGGCACCUCGAUGUCGGCUCAUCGCAUCCUGGGGCGGUAGUACGUCCCAAGGGUUGGGCUGUUCGCCCAUGAAAGCGGUACGCGAGCUGGGUUCAGAACGUCGUGAGACAGUUCGGUCCAUAUCCGGUGUAGGCGUUAGAAUAUUGAGAGGAGCCUUCUUUAGUACGAGAGGACCGAGAAGGACAUACCUCUGGUGUACCAGUUAUCGAGCCAACGGUAGACGCUGGGUAGCUAUGUAUGGAGUGGAUAACCGCUGAAAGCAUCUAAGUGGGAAGCCCACCUCAAGAUAAGUAUUCUC